Molecule: ribosomal RNA, 450 nt
Filed under: uncultured bacterium
Lineage: Bacteria
Description: partial 16S ribosomal RNA
Rfam family: Bacterial small subunit ribosomal RNA
Source: RNAcentral
GUGGGGAAUAUUGGACAAUGGGCGAAAGCCUGAUCCAGCCAUGCCGCGUGUGUGAAGAAGGUCUUCGGAUUGUAAAGCACUUUAAGUUGGGAGGAAGGGCAGUAAGUUAAUACCUUGCUGUUUUGACGUUACCGACAGAAUAAGCACCGGCUAACUUCGUGCCAGCAGCCGCGGUAAUACGAAGGGUGCAAGCGUUAAUCGGAAUUACUGGGCGUAAAGCGCGCGUAGGUGGUUUGGUAAGUUGGAGGUGAAACCCCCGGGCUCAACCUGGGAACUGCCUCCAAAACUGCAUGACUAGAGUACGGUAGAGGGUAGUGGAAUUUCCUGUGUAGCGGUGAAAUGCGUAGAUAUAGGAAGGAACACCAGUGGCGAAGGCGACUACCUGGACUGAUACUGACACUGAGGUGCGAAAGCGUGGGGAGCAAACAGGAUUAGAUACCCCAGUAGUCC